UUAACUGUAAGUUGAACCCUAAAAAGUUCUAAAAGCACAAAGGUCUGGUCCUAGCCUUAUUAUCAGUUAUCUCUUAAUUUACACAUGCAAGUCUCAGCACCCCUGUGAGGAAGCCCUUAAACCCUUAUCCAGGACAAGGAGCCGGUAUCAGGCUCAAACUACUGCCCAUGACACCUAGUCUCACCACACCCCCAAGGGUAUUCAGCAGUGAUAAACAUUAUUUAUAAGCGACAGCUUGACUCAGUUAAAGAGAAGAAAGUCGGCCAACUCGGUGCCAGCCGCCGCGGCUAUACCCCAUGGACUUAGAUUGAUAAUCAUCGGCGUUAAGCGUGAUUAAAGUAUACUAAAAAUUAGAGUAAAACCCUUUGCCCAGCUGUGAAAAGCAUGCACUGUUGAAUAUCAUGAACGAAAGUCACUCUAACCUCCCCACUUGAACACACUAUAGCUAGGAGCACAAACUGG
RNAcentral lists this ribosomal RNA (462 nucleotides) under Fejervarya muangkanensis. RNAcentral describes it as "partial small subunit ribosomal RNA". The record is from RNAcentral. Lineage: Eukaryota; Metazoa; Chordata; Amphibia; Anura; Dicroglossidae.